RNAcentral lists this unclassified non-coding RNA (262 nucleotides) under fungal sp. Its description in RNAcentral is "partial internal transcribed spacer region". The stretch from base 1 to 46 matches the Rfam family "Eukaryotic small subunit ribosomal RNA", at positions 1786 to 1831 of the family's 1831-position model. Lineage: Eukaryota; Fungi. The record is from RNAcentral.
AAGUCGUAACAAGGUUUCCGUAGGUGAACCUGCGGAAGGAUCAUUAUCAUAACAUCCAUGUUAAACUAUUGUGAACCGUUGCUCCUGUGAACGUGCAGCUUGAUUGCGCAUCAGGUUGUCGUUUGCUCGAGCCAUGUUAUCAUACACACUUGAACCCUUUUAUACCUUUGUACUAACCAUUUCAUACUCUUGGCUCAUAACCUUGAGAUGAGAUAAAUACGAAACAUAAGAACAACUCUUAGCAACGGAUAUCUUGGCUCUC